Girardinichthys multiradiatus is the source of this 1042-nucleotide long non-coding RNA. RefSeq lists it as uncharacterized. The transcript has 2 exons. NCBI's taxonomy places the organism in Eukaryota, Metazoa, Chordata, Actinopteri, Cyprinodontiformes, Goodeidae. The record is from RefSeq and is a predicted model, not a curated record.
UGGCGCACCAUCUCCUACCUUUAUGUCCCAUCUAAAACUGUUCUGCUUCUUUGUAAAUAAUGCAAACAGUUUAAAUAUGAAUAAAAUACUGUUUACAUAAACUGCUAUAAGGUUUAGUGACUGCCAACCAGUUGGCUGAACAAGGACUAAGACAUUUUUUAUUUAAAGGUAGAAUAUUCUGUCACUGAUUUUAACAAUGAAAACAUCGUAUUCCGCGGCAAUGAAUGUAACAUUAGGGCUCAAUAAAAGAGCUAUUACACAUCAAUUAACUCUUAUUUACUAUAACCACUAAAAAAAAUAGUACGAGUCGUCAGUGAAAAUUGAGGGACAUAAAUUACCCCAGAGUUUCAGUUUUUAAAGCAUUGUAACUUCCCUAAUUUUCAACCUACAUCCCCAAUCUUAUCAUUUGAACAUUCUUGUUAUGCAUGAGACACUUGAGCAUUUCGCCAACAUACCAAUUUAAAAGCACUUCUAGAAAUAAGGCUUUCAGACCACAGGCUCAACCUUUUAACAUCUUUUCUCUCUAGUAUUUAGAAAUCAAGGCCACCUUUCUUCCACUCCGCCCUUCUCUGGCUUCUCAUAGAUCUUUAAAUCCCAUUUCUUUGCACCAACCACACAUCAGCAAAUCCUCAACCUUGCCUUGCUCAAUCCCCAUGUAGGCUUACUCCUUCAGAUCGCCCCCUCUCUCCCUUGAUCUGGCCUCCUCUGGCUGCCUUCACUUCAUGUGACUGUCAGCUGCUUGAGUUCUCAUUUACCUCAGAACUAGCUCACGACUAUGUGCAGGAAAGUUGGAGGAUUAAAAAAGGAGGAAGGAAGGGUUCACAUGGGUGUGUAGCCACUACUAGUGACUUAUCUGAUAUUGCAUCUCUUUCCAGGCAUCAGCUGCUGAAUGAAGAUGCAGCCGCUGGCUGUGGAAGCGCAUCAGCUCUGUGGGAGGUCACGUGAAAACUCACGCUCACGCGGAAGCAACCACACCGUCAUCAACACAUCUCUGAUCACAUUAUAUACUGCUCAAAAAAAUAAAGGGAACACUCAAAUAAUA